Molecule: ribosomal RNA, 305 nt
Filed under: uncultured bacterium
Lineage: Bacteria
Description: bacterial SSU rRNA
Rfam family: Bacterial small subunit ribosomal RNA
Source: RNAcentral
GGAUUCCUACGGGAGGCAGCAGUGAGGAAUAUUGGUCAAUGGGCGGGAGCCUGAACCAGCCAAGCCGCGUGAAGGAUGAAGAUCUUCGGAUCGUAAACCUCUGUCAGCAGGGAAGAACGGUCACUGUGCUAAUCAGCAGUGAAUUGACGGUACCUGCAAAGGAAGCACCGGCUAACUCCGUGCCAGCAGCCGCGGUAAUACGGAGGGUGCGAGCGUUAAUCGGAAUUACUGGGCGUAAAGCGCUCGUAGGCGGUAUGUCAAGUCAAGGGUGAAAUCCCCGCGCUCAACGUGGGAACUGCCUUUGA